Molecule: ribosomal RNA, 253 nt
Filed under: uncultured bacterium
Lineage: Bacteria
Description: partial 16S ribosomal RNA
Rfam family: Bacterial small subunit ribosomal RNA
Source: RNAcentral
UACGUAGGGUCCGAGCGUUGUCCGGAAUUAUUGGGCGUAAAGAGCUCGUAGGCGGUUUGUCGCGUCUGAUGUGAAAUCCCGAGGCUCAACCCCAAGCCUGCACUGGAUACUGUCGAGCUUGAGUCCGGGAGGGGAGAGCGGAAUUCCUAGUGUAGCGGUGAAAUGCGCAGAUAUUAGGAAGAACACCGGUGGCGAAGGCGGCUCUCUGGAACGGUACUGACGCUGAGACGCGAAAGCGUGGGGAGCGAACAGG